AAAGCGGUUUGUCGUCCCCCAAAACGCUGGGUGCUUUAGGCCAAAGAGGGAAGGAGAGCGCUGCAUAACGUGGAUAUUAACUUACAGUCCAUUGAAAACAAAGCUUAAAAUACAUAAUAUCGUCUGGCAUCGAUGAAGGUGUUCAUCGACACCUGCACGACUCUAUACAGACUGGCCCACAAAAUAACUACAGUUGAGUACUGAAGACUUUGGAUGCCGUUGACUCAAAAACACAUGCUACAACCACUAGUCAUCAACUCAACAGUCCCACGAGAUGGUGUGGUAAAGGUGGCCUGUAAGGACAAGAGCUGUGGAGGUCAGAACGGACAGGAAGCGGCUGUUUGUUUGUCUGGACACUUGUUUGUGAGUCUGGCCAUUAUCCUCCUCAUUAAUUCUGAUGUUAAAUAGCCUAGCUCAAGAUUGGGAAGGUUAUACUGACCUCACACUUCUCCAUAACAGUAUGUUUGAAUUAUUUUAGCCCUCACAGUGGCCGACUUCAACUCUUUGUUAGGGCGGCAAUCAUGUUUACACCCUAAACAACAAGGGAUUUGCCACACUAGUGGCUUUUAUCCUCCAAGAUGUUUUGUUUGAAUGCUGCUUGAUUUUUUUUGUCAUUUGUUGAACACUAUCCGGCUUGAUUUAAG
This is a long non-coding RNA of Cyprinus carpio (common carp), 644 nucleotides long. NCBI's taxonomy places the organism in Eukaryota, Metazoa, Chordata, Actinopteri, Cypriniformes, Cyprinidae. The record is from Ensembl.